CGCGAACGGCUCAUUGUAACAGCUAUAAUUUACUAGACCUUGAGCAACUACUUGGAUACCUGUGGUAAUUCUAGAGCUAAUACAUGCACCGAAGUUGUUCCUCGCGGAGCAAUGCAUUUAUUUGAGCAAAACCAGGCGGCUUCGGCCGUUUCUGUUGAUUCAGAAUAACUAAGCUGAUCGCAUGGGCUUGUCCCGGCGAAGUGUCUUUCAAGUGUCUGCCUUAUCAACUUUCGAUGGUAGUGUACGUGACUACCAUGGUGUUGACGGGUAACGGAGGAUAAGGGUUCGACUCCGGAGAAGGGGCCUGAGAAAUGGCCACUACGUCUAAGGAUGGCAGCAGGCGCGCAAAUUACCCACUCUCGGUUCGAGGAGGUAGUGACGAAAAAUAACAAGGCCGUUCUCUUUGAGGCCGGCCAUUGGAAUGGGUACAACUUAAACCCUUUAACGAGUAUCAAUGAGAGGGCAAGUCUGGUGCCAGCAGCCGCGGUAAUUCCAGCU
Molecule: ribosomal RNA, 498 nt
Filed under: Paratylenchus projectus
Lineage: Eukaryota; Metazoa; Nematoda; Chromadorea; Rhabditida; Tylenchulidae
Description: SSU rRNA
Rfam family: Eukaryotic small subunit ribosomal RNA
Source: RNAcentral